CCUACGGGAGGCAGCAGUGGGGAAUAUUGCACAAUGAGGGAAACCCUGAUGCAGCGACGCCGCGUGAGCGAUGAAGUAUUUCGGUAUGUAAAGCUCUAUCAGCAGGGAAGAAAAUGACGGUACCUGACUAAUAAGCCCCGGCUAACUACGUGCCAGCAGCCGCGGUAAUACGGAGGGGGCAAGCGUUCUCCGGAUUUACUGGGUGGAAAGGGAGCGUGGACGGCUUGGCAAGCCAGAUGUGAAAGGCUGGGGCUCAACCCCAGGAUUGCAUUUGGUACUGGCAUGCUAGAGUGUCGGAGAGGCAGGCGGAAUUCCUAGUGUAGCGGUGAAAUGCGUAGAUAUAAGGAGGAACACCAGUGGCGAAGGCGGCCUGCUGGA
This 378-nucleotide ribosomal RNA is filed under the name uncultured bacterium. RNAcentral's name for it is "partial 16S ribosomal RNA". It matches the Rfam family "Bacterial small subunit ribosomal RNA", at positions 338 to 733 of the family's 1533-position model. The record is from RNAcentral.